GCCAAAUCGUAAAAAAUUAAUUCACACCAAUAAACGCCAGGGCACUACGAGCUUUAGCUUAAAACCCAAAGGACUUGACGGUGUCCCACCCAACUAGAGGAGCCUGUUCUAUAAUCGAUGAUCCACGAUAAACCCAACCAUUUCUUGCUAUUCAGCCUGUAUACCUCCGUCGUAAGUUUACCAUAUGAAUGCUUAACAGUAGACUCAAAGACUUAAACGCCACAAUGUCAGGUCAAGGUGCAGCUUAUGAAAUGGAAGCAAUGGGCUACAAUUUCUAACUUAGAACAAACGAAUUACUACAUGAAACAUAGUCAUGAAGGCGGAUUUAGAAGUAAGUAAAGAAUAGAGAGCUUUACUAAAACUGGCCCUGGGACGUGU
RNAcentral lists this ribosomal RNA (378 nucleotides) under Feihyla kajau (white-eared tree frog). Its description in RNAcentral is "partial 12S ribosomal RNA". The stretch from base 40 to 378 matches the Rfam family "Bacterial small subunit ribosomal RNA", at positions 875 to 1384 of the family's 1533-position model. The record is from RNAcentral. Lineage: Eukaryota; Metazoa; Chordata; Amphibia; Anura; Rhacophoridae.